This 433-nucleotide ribosomal RNA is filed under the name uncultured bacterium. RNAcentral's name for it is "partial 16S ribosomal RNA". It matches the Rfam family "Bacterial small subunit ribosomal RNA", at positions 29 to 507 of the family's 1533-position model. The record is from RNAcentral.
AACGAACGCUGGCGGCAUGCCUAACACAUGCAAGUCGAACGAGACCUUCGGGUCUAGUGGCGCACGGGUGCGUAACGCGUGGGAACCUGCCCUUAGGUUCGGAAUAACUCCCCGAAAGGGGUGCUAAUACCGGAUAAUGUCUUCGGACCAAAGAUUUAUCGCCUUUGGAUGGGCCCGCGUUGGAUUAGCUAGUUGGUAGGGUAAAAGCCUACCAAGGCGACGAUCCAUAGCUGGUCCGAGAGGAUGAUCAGCCACACUGGGACUGAGACACGGCCCAGACUCCGACGGGAGGCAGCAGUGGGGAAUAUUGGACAAUGGGCGAAAGCCUAAUCCAGCAAUGCCGCGUAAGUGAUGAAGGCCUUAGGGUUGUAAAGCUCUUUGACCCGAGAUGAGAAUGACAGUACCGGGAGAAUAAGCUCCGGCUAACUCCGUG